RNAcentral lists this ribosomal RNA (1810 nucleotides) under Salmonella enterica subsp. enterica serovar Haifa. RNAcentral describes it as "partial 23S ribosomal RNA". It matches the Rfam family "Bacterial large subunit ribosomal RNA", at positions 1 to 1756 of the family's 2925-position model. The record is from RNAcentral. Lineage: Bacteria; Pseudomonadati; Pseudomonadota; Gammaproteobacteria; Enterobacterales; Enterobacteriaceae.
GGGUUGUGAGGUUAAGCGACUAAGCGUACACGGUGGAUGCCCUGGCAGUCAGAGGCGAUGAAGGGCGUGCUAAUCUGCGAUAAGCGCCGGUAAGGUGAUAUGAACCGUUAUAACCGGCGAUACCCGAAUGGGGAAACCCAGUGUGACUCGUCACACUAUCAUUAACUGAAUCCAUAGGUUAAUGAGGCGAACCGGGGGAACUGAAACAUCUAAGUACCCCGAGGAAAAGAAAUCAACCGAGAUUCCCCCAGUAGCGGCGAGCGAACGGGGAGGAGCCCAGAGCCUGAAUCAGCAUGUGUGUUAGUGGAAGCGUCUGGAAAGGCGCGCGAUACAGGGUGACAGCCCCGUACACAAAAGCGCAUGUGCUGUGAGCUCGAUGAGUAGGGCGGGACACGUGGUAUCCUGUCUGAAUAUGGGGGGACCAUCCUCCAAGGCUAAAUACUCCUGACUGACCGAUAGUGAACCAGUACCGUGAGGGAAAGGCGAAAAGAACCCCGGCGAGGGGAGUGAAAAAGAACCUGAAACCGUGUACGUACAAGCAGUGGGAGCACAGGUUUACCUGUGUGACUGCGUACCUUUUGUAUAAUGGGUCAGCGACUUAUAUUCUGUAGCAAGGUUAACCGUAUAGGGGAGCCGGAGGGAAACCGAGUCUUAAUUGGGCGUUAAGUUGCAGGGUAUAGACCCGAAACCCGGUGAUCUAGCCAUGGGCAGGUUGAAGGUUGGGUAACACUAACUGGAGGACCGAACCGACUAAUGUUGAAAAAUUAGCGGAUGACCUGUGGCUGGGGGUGAAAGGCCAAUCAAACCGGGAGAUAGCUGGUUCUCCCCGAAAGCUAUUUAGGUAGCGCCUCGUGAAUUCAUCUCCGGGGGUAGAGCACUGUUUCGGCUAGGGGGCCAUCCCGGCUUACCAACCCGAUGCAAACUGCGAAUACCGGAGAAUGUUAUCACGGGAGACACACGGCGGGUGCUAACGUCCGUCGUGAAGAGGGAAACAACCCAGACCGCCAGCUAAGGUCCCAAAGUCAUGGUUAAGUGGGAAACGAUGUGGGAAGGCCCAGACAGCCAGGAUGUUGGCUUAGAAGCAGCCAUCAUUUAAAGAAAGCGUAAUAGCUCACUGGUCGAGUCGGCCUGCGCGGAAGAUGUAACGGGGCUAAACCAUGCACCGAAGCUGCGGCAGCGAACGUAUCACCCAAGACAACUUUACGGAGUUGACGAUUGACGGAGCGAAGCGACGUCAAAGCGUUCAUUAAAGUCGAGUUGGCUUAGGGAUACGUUCGUUGGGUAGGGGAGCGUUCUGUAAGCCUGUGAAGGUGUGUCGUGAGGCAUGCUGGAGGUAUCAGAAGUGCGAAUGCUGACAUAAGUAACGAUAAAGCGGGUGAAAAGCCCGCUCGCCGGAAGACCAAGGGUUCCUGUCCAACGUUAAUCGGGGCAGGGUGAGUCGACCCCUAAGGCGAGGCCGAAAGGCGUAGUCGAUGGGAAACGGGUUAAUAUUCCCGUACUUGGUGUUACUGCGAAGGGGGGACGGAGAAGGCUAUGUUGGCCGGGCGACGGUUGUCCCGGUUUAAGCGUGUAGGUGUGUGUUCCAGGUAAAUCCGGUUCACUUUAACACUGAGGCGUGACGACGAGGCACUACGGUGCUGAAGCAACAAAUGCCCUGCUUCCAGGAAAAGCCUCUAAGCAUCAGGUAACAUCAAAUCGUACCCCAAACCGACACAGGUGGUCAGGUAGAGAAUACCAAGGCGCUUGAGAGAACUCGGGUGAAGGAACUAGGCAAAAUGGUGCCGUAACUUCGGGAGAAGGCACGCUGACA